GAGGGUAUAGCUCAGUGGUAGAGUGUGUGCUUAGCAUGCAUAAGGUCCUGGGUUCAAUCCCCAGUAUCUCCA
This 72-nucleotide transfer RNA is filed under the name Vicugna pacos (alpaca). RNAcentral describes it as "tRNA-Ala (AGC) (tRNA-Ala-AGC-191-1)". It matches the Rfam family "tRNA". From Rfam's summary of the family: Transfer RNA (tRNA) molecules are approximately 80 nucleotides in length. Their secondary structure includes four short double-helical elements and three loops (D, anti-codon, and T loops). Further hydrogen bonds mediate the characteristic L-shaped molecular structure. tRNAs have two regions of fundamental functional importance: the anti-codon, which is responsible for specific mRNA codon recognition, and the 3' end, to which the tRNAs corresponding amino acid is attached (by aminoacyl-tRNA synthetases). tRNAs cope with the degeneracy of the genetic code in two manners: having more than one tRNA (with a specific anti-codon) for a particular amino acid; and 'wobble' base-pairing, i.e. permitting non-standard base-pairing at the 3rd anti-codon position. The record is from Rfam by way of RNAcentral. Lineage: Eukaryota; Metazoa; Chordata; Mammalia; Artiodactyla; Camelidae.